AUUGAACGCUGGCGGAAUGCUUUACACAUGCAAGUCGAGCGGCAGCGCGGGGGCAACCCUGGCGGCGAGCGGCGAACGGGUGAGUAACAUAUCGGAACGUACCCUGUCGUGGGGGAUAACUAUCCGAAAGGAUAGCUAAUACCGCAUACGACCUGAGGGUGAAAGCGGGGGACCGCAAGGCCUCGCGCGAUAGGAGCGGCCGAUAUCGGAUUAGCUAGUUGGUGAGGUAAAGGCUCACCAAGGCGACGAUCCGUAGCGGGUCUGAGAGGACGACCCGCCACACUGGAACUGAGACACGGUCCAGACUCCUACGGGAGGCAGCAGUGGGGAAUUUUGGACAAUGGGGGCAACCCUGAUCCAGCCAUUCCGCGUGAGUGAAGAAGGCCUGGU
RNAcentral lists this ribosomal RNA (390 nucleotides) under uncultured bacterium. RNAcentral's name for it is "bacterial SSU rRNA". It matches the Rfam family "Bacterial small subunit ribosomal RNA", at positions 29 to 420 of the family's 1533-position model. The record is from RNAcentral.